This 7412-nucleotide long non-coding RNA is filed under the name Pan troglodytes (chimpanzee). RNAcentral's name for it is "long non-coding RNA NONPTRT008251". The record is from RNAcentral. Lineage: Eukaryota; Metazoa; Chordata; Mammalia; Primates; Hominidae.
CAAUUUUGUUAGAAAUAAUUUGGAUCCAGCUAUCUUUAUACAAUGAUAGAAUGACCACAACCAUAUUAACAAACCAAAAACCUGUGCACAGAAACAAGAUGAAGAAAAUAUAUCAAGAUGUUAACCACACUCUUUGGAUGGUGAAAACAUGGGUGAGUUUCUCUUCUACAUUUCUGUAACUUCAAAGUUUCUAUAAUGAACACAUUUCAUAUAUAAUGGAAAUAUAUGUAGUAAAGGUGGACUACCAAAACACUAGAAUGAUGACCUUUCAAGGAAACCGAAACAAAAUAACCAUAAUCCCACAACAACCACACAACUAUUUCUUGUUUUCCAUCUUUCUUCCCAUCUUUGACACUUAUGCAUACUUAUCACUAACACCCUAAUAAUCACAGACUAGUGCACAGAUCAAGAUGUUAACAGUUAAUUGUUGUUGGGUGUUGGGAAUAUGUGUGAAUUUUCUUUACUGAAUUUCCAAAGUUUUGUAUGAGUAUGUAUUAUAUUUGUAAUGGAAAAUACAUACAUAAAAUUUAUUACCAAAACACCAAAGAUUAUUUAAGGAAUUUGAGACAAAAUAUUUAACCAAAUUCCCACAAUGACAACACUAUUUUAGUUAUUUUCCACAUCUUUUCAUUUAAGACUUUAUGCACACAUAUUUAACACUGUUAUCACAAGCGUGUGCACUGAAACAAGAUAGAGGAAACAGAUCAAGAUGUUAGCAGUAGUUGUUGGGUGUUGGGAAUAUAGGUAAUUUUUUUAAAUAAUUUACUUUAUUUUCUAAUUUUUCCUCUGGGUAUGUAUUAUGCACACCAAUGGAGACAUACAUAAUACACUGUUAUCAGGACAUUAUUAUAGGGAACAUUUGAAAAAAUUAAAGUGAAAGUAUUUAACCAUAAUUCCACAAAGGUAACGUAACAGCUAUUUUGAAUAUACAUUUUGACACAGUUAUAAUCAUAAACCUGUGCACAGAAACAAGAAUGAACAAGAUAGAGGAGAGUAUAUGUCUUUGGAUGGUGGGGAUAUGAUUUUUUUUCCUCCACUUUUCUGUAUUUUCCAAGUGUGUGAUAAUGAGUUCAAAUUAUGUUCACAAUGAAAAUGUGAUCAUAAACUUUUUAGUAACACUACCAUAAAGAACAUUCAAGAAAUUUAAGAAAAUAAUGCUCAACUAUAAGCCUACAACAACAACCACAACAGCUUUUGACUAUAAGCAUAUAUAUUUUUAAACAGUUAUAACUGUAGUAUAAAUAUACUUUCGUGUCCUGCUUUCUCCACUUAAUGUUCUGUAAAUAUAUUUCCACGUUGCUACAUAACUCGUGAUUAUCAUUUUUAAACAGUUGCAUUAAGUGUCCACAGAUAGGUUUAAACAAUCAUUCUCUUGUUUACCAUUUGUUACUACCUUUUCACUAGCUGAAGGUUGGAACGGACACCCUGACUUACAGCAAGUUGCUUUCUGAAAAGGGGCUACCACUGCCAACAAUGUUAACACCAAGUAAUGUACCCACAAAGUUCACCCCGACAUCAACACUGAUUCUCGUUUCAAGAGUCCUUUUCCCAUGUAGUAAACCUCACUGCCCCUCAGCUUUCCUGAUGUCCGUUCCAACCUCAGGCCUUCCUAUGCAGCCAGCCCUCACCUACACCAUACCAUCAAAAACUCCUUUUCCAAACUGCUCAGGACACCCCACUCAAUUCAUUCUCAGAAACCUGGCCUUCUACAGUUCUUGCCUCUGGUGUUUUCUUCUGUCUGUCUCCUCUCCCCUACUAGAUCUGGUGAUAUAUUAGGACUCCCUUCUUUGACUCACUCAUUUCUGCUUCUUGCUCUCAGCUCUACAAUCUUCCUAAACUUUGACACUCCCUGCAUCUUUGACAUACUUCCAAGCCCUAAUCCUGCAGAUCCAGAAGAGUAAGAUUCAGACACAUUUCCCCCAGUGGGUACUUUAAUUUUGCUUGUUCAAAUGAUCUACACUUACAUUUUGCAAAUCUUUUUUUUUUAAUUUUUUAAAUUUUAUAUUUUUUUUCCAGCCAACUCAAGGCCAAAAAAAAUUUCUUAAUAUAGUUAUUAUGCGAGGGGAGGGGAAGCAAAGGAGCACAGGUAGUCCACAGAAUAGGACACAAGAAACCUCAAGCUGUGAGGUCAAUUUGUAAUUAAAAGAAUACUAAGAUUAGAUGAACACAACACUCAGAAAUACUCUAGGAGAGCUGAAAAAGAAGGAACAGAUGUUAACAAAACAAAUUAAGGCUGCUGGGGAACCUGAGUCCAUGUUAAGCUUGGGUUGACUGUAAAGAAUUUUUUUUUUUUUUAAUGCAAGUUAGACAUGGAGUUAGAGGGUCAGAUAAAUAACGAAGAGAAUUAAGUUAGCGAUAGAAAGAUCUAAGGAUACUAGCUCCUGGGCACCUAGGGUGCAAACUGACUUGUGGCAGCAUAAGCUGAUGCUGCACAGGGGACCCAAGCCAUGUUGCUACUUGUCACUUAAGGCAGGAAGCGCACAAAGGAAGUGAUGAAAGGUUAUUAGCCUGCAACAUUAUUUACAGCAUGAGAGCCUCUCCUACGGUUCUCAACCUUCAUUAGGCACUACUGUGAUCUAGUGAUGGUUGUAACCCAUUCUUUAAAGGCAAAGAUGUAAGAUUUACAGGGAAAAGCUUCGGGUUUUAUCAAUUCACUAUCAUCAAACACAUAUUGAGUUGGUUAAAAAAAAAAAAACCCCAGAACACAAUGAGAACCACUUCAACAAACAUAACAUGUGGCAACCAAUCAAUCUGGGUCACAAAAAGCCAAUCCGUAUAUUGUAAAGCCUUACAGAGUAUUAGGUUCCAAAGUGUUGGUGCAGAUGAAAUGGCUGCAGAAAGAAGCUAAAGUACUUAUCUUUUCAAACAGUAAGGAGUAAAAGCCAUGUUAUCUAUCAUGCCUACAGCUUCACAAGACUAUUUAAGGGUAAGAAACAAAACAAUUACUCAAAAAGAUAUUGACAGGGUUCAAAUAAUGCACAAUAAAUCUUUCUCAGGAUCUAAGACACUUAAAAAUAUAAUCAAAUUUGUUGCUCUCUUCCUCCUCCAAAAAAAAAAAAAUCAAAGAAUACCAGGUAAGGUACCUCUGCAGAGUAAACUGUAACUGUAUAUCAUAUUAAAUCCAAAUAUAUGUGAUCACUGUUCUGUCAUAAUUUGCUAUUUUAUAUACACCUCAUGAAACGCUAUAUAUACGUUACACAAGUGUCAUUUACAGUUGAUUUGGGCAAACUUUGUAGUCUGGAAUACUCAUAGGGUUUUCUCAAUCUGAUUACUUGGAAAGGUAAGAUGUGUGCUAUGGCUUUCCCACAUGCAGACACUGACAUCUGAAGGGGAAAGCUUAAGACUGUGGAAUCUGCACAUUCGGUCUCUUUUCAAUCUGAGUUUAGAGAUGUUAAGUCAGGUGUGUAACACACUAAGGUUAAGUCUCCUACUGACAUUAUCAUGGAUUGGUUUGAAUUCUCUGUGGUUUGGUAAGGGUCAAGUCCUAGGUGAAGGUUUUCUAACCUUUACCCCAUGCCCUCAGCCAGUGUGGGUAUUCUGGUGUCUGGCGAGGGACAGGCGGUCAUUGAAGAGCUGCCCACAGACGUCACAUUUGAAGUACUUCUCAUCAGCUUGAUUGGCACCACCUGUGCUGGUGCUGGCACGUUCGAUGUAGCCUGAGCACUCCCCAAAGGCAUUUGCAGGCUCAAAUAUGAUCAUGCUGGCAUGAGUUUUCAGGUGUUCACCGAAUGCUGUGCUGGAAGUGAAGGUUUCUGUGCAUUCAUGGCAGUCAUAGUAUGGUUCUUCUACCUGAAUCUCUUGAUCUUCACCUUCUUCUGGGUCUUCAAUUCCCACACCGUCAGGCUCGUCGGCAUCUCCCUCUGGCUCUUCAGCUUUUCCCUCUGGCUCUUCAGCUCUUUCUUCUGGGUCUUCAAUACCUGCACCAUCUGGCUCAUCAGCAUCCCCAUUUGGCUGCUCGGCCUCUCCAUUUGGCUGUCCAGCCUCUCCAAUGGGCUCUGCAGCCUCUCCAUCUGGCCCUUCAGCCUCUCCGUUUGGCUCAGCAGCCUCCACUUCUGGCUCAGCAGCCUCCACUUCUGGCUCGGCAGCCUCCACUUCUGGCUCAGCAGCCUCUACGUUUGAGCCCUGAAUCCUCAGAACUACUUGUGGAACAUGGACAUUGGCUUCAACUUCCUGGGCUGCUGCUGCUGCAGCUGCUGCUGCUUCAUCUUCUUCUUCUUCUUCCAGAUGAAGCUCCUUAUGUUUAGUGAGGACUGUGCUAUGAAUAAAGGACUUACCACAAUCCUUGCAUUCAUAGAAUGGUAUAGCUCCUUUGAGGGGCUCAGUAAGAAAUGAGGUGUGAGUAUAGGAGGACCCGUACUCAUAGGGCUCAUUCUUAUGAACAGUUACGUGAUCUGCAAGUUCUGCUGGGUUGAUGAAAGAUUCUCCACAGACUGCACAUUCAAAGAGUCUCUCUUCGGUCUGACUUCUCUGAAACUCAGUGAGGGCUAAGCCUGGAAUGAUAGCUUCCUCAGCCAUCUGGCUCUGCUCCAGUAAAUCAUCUUCCCUAUGAAGUCUCAUAUGCUCAUUAAGGGCAGAGCUAUGAAUGAAGCCUUGUCCACACAAAAGGCAUCGAAUGGCUGACCCAGCAAGAGCAGGAUUCCUCUCCGCAGCACGAUUCCUCCGUGGCUUCAUGGGCAAGAGGGCAAUAAAACCAUCAUCACACCCCUUCAUGGAAUACAACUGGUCUUGUUCAUGGAUUCUCUGAUGCUCGAAAAGGAAUGAGCUAUGAAUAAAAGAUUCCCCACACUUUGGACAUUCAUACAGCUGCUCUCCAGUGUAAUCUCUCUGAUACUCGCUGAUGGAAUGGGUGUGAAUUACAGAAUGUGUGUACUCCCGACUGUCAACCAGGCACUUCCUGCUGUGGACUUUCUGAUGGUCUGUGAGGUCUGUGAGAUCCACAAAGCCCAGGCCACAGUCCUCACAUUCAUAGAUUUUGUCAUCAGGGUCAUCCUUCUGAGGGUCUUCCAUGUCUGAGCCUUGAAUGACAGGGUCUUCAAUUGUCUCCUGACCAUGGGUCUCCUCGCUGUGGGUCUCCUCCCCAUCAGUAUUCUCGCCUUGAGACUCCUCGCCAUGAGACUUCUCUUGGUCAUAGAUUUUCUGGUUUGUGUUGAGGUCUUCGCUGGUAGCAAAAAAUUGUCUGAACUCCUUACAUUUGUUCCACGCUUGCUCUUUAGCAUACUGCUCUUGGGCGUAACUUGUUUGAGGGUCAGUAGGGGCCAAGCUGCGAAUGACAGACCAUUCAUAGUUUCUGCUUCCAGAGGGCUUCUCUCUAUCAUGAAUCUUCUGGUGCUCAGUGAGGUCAGAGCUAUGAGCAAAGCACUCCCCACACUCCUGACAUUCAUAGAGCAUCCCUCGAGGGCGAAAUGUUUGUUCACCAAAAGGCAGAGAGUGAAUUACAGAGGUCUCAUUGCUCCUAUGCUCAAUGUAUUUCUUUUUAGCACGAGCCUUCUGGUAUUCACGGACAUUUGAGCUGGGAACAGAGAAUUCGCCAUCCUUCUUAAACUCACCAGAUCCCUCUCCAGGAACACUUUUCUGAGGUUUGGCACGGGAUACACUCUGUAUGACAGAGUCUUCAUAGUUGCGAUUCUUACUGCCCCCUUCACAAGGGUUCUCUCUGGCAGGAAUCUUCUGUCGCUUAUCAUUAAGGUCUGAGAUAUAGAUGGAGGAUUCUCCCUUCUCAUUAGAUUCCACCAAUUCAUUUCCAUUGUGACUUCUUGGAGGUUUGGAAGCCACUAAGCUAUGGAUAACAGACCUACUGUAUUCCCUUCCUUCAGAGGUGUUCCCUCCAGCACGAACUCUCUGAUGGUUGAUAGCAUCGAAGCUCUGAAUGGUAGACUCUGCCAUUACUUUUGGUUUACUGGGCCCUGCUACACUGUGACUUUUCUGAGCUUCCACAGAGGCUAAGCUAUGAAUAACAGACCUCUCAUAUGAUUUUGCCUCAUAGACAUUUUCCUUAGUGGGAAUCUUCUGGUUUUCAUAGGGGUUAGAGCUAAUGGUGAACGCCUUUUCGUCCUCAUCACUUUCAAGAGGUCUUGUUAUAGUAUGACUCUUCUGAGAUUCCGUGAAUGGCCCACUAUGAAUGACAGAUUUCUCAUACCCUCUGCCUUCAAAGAGGUUCUUUCGAGAAUGAAUUUUCUGAUGCUCACUGAGCUCUGAGCUUUGCAUGAAGGCAUCCCGGCCAUCUGUAAAGUCAUAGAGCUUCUCCUUAUUGUAAGUUUUCUGACGCUUUUUAAGGGACUGACCAGGAAUAAAGGUUUCCUCACACACUUUACCCUUGUUUUCAAAUGGGUUCCCUCUAGUAUGGAUUUUCUGAUGUUCUUUCAGGGAUGAGCUAUGAAGGAAAGUCUCCCCACACACCUUACAUUCGUACAUUUUCUCUUUACCAUACAUUUUCUGAAACUCAUUAAGGGCUGGGCUGGGCCUAAAGGUUUCCCCACGCUCACGUUCACGUUCAUGUUCACGCUCAUUAUCUUUGUCAUCCCCAAAGUGGAUUUUCUGGUGCUCAAUCAGGGCAGAACUAUGAAGGAAGGUUUCCUUACACACCCUGCACUCGUAGAAUUUGUCUUUGCCAUAUAUUUUCUGAAGCUCGCUAAAGGUGGGGCUAGGCAUGAAGGCUUCCUCACAUUCCUGAUUCUUACAUUCCACAAGAUAACCUCUAGCAUGAAUCUUCCGAUGUUCAGCCAAGGCGGCACUCUUAUUGAAGGUCUCUCCACAGUCCUUACAUUCAAAACGUUUCCCUCCAACCUGACUUUUCUGAACUUCACUGACAGCCACACUGUGAAUAAAGGACUCACCAUACUCAUAGAGGUUCUCUCUAGUAUGCAUGAUCUGGUGCUCAACAAAUUCUGAGAUGACACUGAACGACCUCCCACACUCAUCACAUACAUAUGGCAUUGCCCCAAAAUCAAUUGGCUGUGACUCGGUAAAGGAGGGGGAGCUGAGGCUGCUCAGGCUGCUCAUGCUCAUGGCUUUUCUCAUCUCACUACCACAUUCAAAGGGCUUCUUCCUGGGACAGGCUUUUUGAUCGUGAAUCGAGCCCUUCCCAUCUGUGUCAAAAUGAUAGCGCCUCUUUCUUUCAAGAACUCUCUUUCUGGAAACAAGGGUUGAAUUAAACCUAAAGCCUCCCCUAAAUGCAUUCCCUUCAUAAACCCGCUGCUGGAUCACUGACUCCCUCUUGUUCAAUGAAAUGUCCUUCCAGUUAUCAUCUGACAUUCUGGGGAAUCUCUGUGACCGGUCGCUUGACUCCCUUGCUCUUCCCGAUUUGGAACUGCGUGACACAUCCUUGAUGAAUUUUUCCAUUAUCACUCCGUGGGAAGAUUCAUCUUCACAAAUCCCCCGCCGGUGGGUUGAUUUUUUGGCUUCAGGCAUAGUUU